GAUGAAGAACGUAGCGAAAUGCGAUACGUAAUGUGAAUUGCAAAUUCAGUGAAUCAUCGAGUCUUUGAACGCACAUUGCGCCCCCCAGUAUUCUGGCGGGCAUGCCUGUUCGAGCGUCAUUUCAACCAUCAAGCCCUGCUUGUGUUGGGGUCCUGCGGCUGCCCGCAGGCCCUGAAAACCAGUGGCGGGCUCGCUAGUCACACCGAGCGCAGUAGCACAUCUCGCUCAGGGCGUGCGGCGGGCUCCAGCCGUUAAAGCACCCACCUUUCGCAAGGUUGACCUCGGAUCAGGUAGGAAUACCCGCUGAACUUAAGCAUAUCAAUAAGCGGAGGA
This 333-nucleotide unclassified non-coding RNA is filed under the name soil metagenome. RNAcentral's name for it is "partial contains 5.8S ribosomal RNA, internal transcribed spacer 2, and large subunit ribosomal RNA". The stretch from base 1 to 119 matches the Rfam family "5.8S ribosomal RNA", at positions 35 to 154 of the family's 154-position model. The record is from RNAcentral.